CUUGGUCAUUUAGAGGAAGUAAAAGUCGUAACAAGGUUUCCGUAGGUGAACCUGCGGAAGGAUCAUUACAAGUGAGGCUACCGAACGUUGGAAACAGCGGUUAGGAGCUUACACCCACCCGUGUUUACAUACUAUUGUUGCUUUGGCGGGCCGUGGCCUCCACUGCGGGCUCUGCUCGUGUGUGCCCGCCAGAGAACCAAACUCUGAAUGUUAGUGAUGUCUGAGUACUAUCUAAUAGUUAAAACUUUCAACAACGGAUCUCUUGGUUCUGGCAUCGAUGAAGAACGCAGCGAAAUGCGAUAAGUAAUGUGAAUUGCAGAAUUCAGUGAAUCAUCGAAUCUUUGAGCGCACAUUGCGCCCUGUGGUAUUCCGCAGGGCAUGCCUGUUCGAGCGUCAUUUAACCACUCACGCCUAGCGUGGUAUUGGGGCACGCGGUCUCCGCGGCCCUCAAAAUCAGUGGCGGCGCCGGUGGGCUCUAAGCGUAGUACAUACUCCCGCUAUAGAGUUCCCCCCGGUGGCUCGCCAGAACCCCCAAUUUUUUACAGGUUGACCUCGGAUCAGGUAGGGAUACCCGCUGAACUUAAGCAUAUCAAUAAGCGGAGGA
Molecule: ribosomal RNA, 604 nt
Filed under: uncultured Phialocephala
Lineage: Eukaryota; Fungi; Ascomycota; Leotiomycetes; Helotiales
Description: eukaryotic LSU rRNA
Rfam family: 5.8S ribosomal RNA (bases 243-396)
Source: RNAcentral